Molecule: transfer RNA, 74 nt
Filed under: Olavius algarvensis spirochete endosymbiont
Lineage: Bacteria; Pseudomonadati; Spirochaetota; Spirochaetia; Spirochaetales
Also listed under: 1 other name
Rfam family: tRNA
About the family: Transfer RNA (tRNA) molecules are approximately 80 nucleotides in length.
Source: Rfam by way of RNAcentral
GGGCCGCUAGCUCAGCUAGGUAGAGCAACGCCCUUUUAAGGCGUGGGUCAAAGGUUCGAAUCCUUUGCGGCUCA